CAAACCUAUGAUUUAAGUACGAGGCUGUGGUCUGGAAAUAGUUAAAGGAUUCGAACGUUUUGGGGAUGGUGACGAAAAGAGUGAGGUUGUAAGUGAAGGUGGUGGUGGUGUUGUUGUAGGAGAAGCUGACCACGUUGGCGUUGCUUACAGAGAAUUUGUGUUUUUUAAUGUCUAUGCUGUCUAGAUACCAGAGUAAACAGACUACAGAAAGGAAAAACAAAGCCAAUAUUAUCAUAAAGGCUGCCACUUUGAUAACCUUCAUUGCCUUGGUUGAAGAUGACAUGAUGAUGA
RNAcentral lists this long non-coding RNA (291 nucleotides) under Vigna radiata. Its description in RNAcentral is "long non-coding RNA (VRAD_LNC009601)". Lineage: Eukaryota; Viridiplantae; Streptophyta; Magnoliopsida; Fabales; Fabaceae. The record is from RNAcentral.